This 1485-nucleotide unclassified non-coding RNA is filed under the name Leishmania donovani. RNAcentral describes it as "gene:LdHU3.32.3520(CDS-product:hypothetical_prote in)". The record is from RNAcentral. Lineage: Eukaryota; Euglenozoa; Kinetoplastea; Trypanosomatida; Trypanosomatidae.
GCGCCAUCGUACUAGACAGCGAUAGUUCGCCAUAUGCGAGUGAGCACUAGAGCGCAGGCGGCGUUCCCUCCCUGCCUUGUUUCUCCUCACACACACCUUAGAGACUCUGUUUGAUAUUCGGCCUCCUCAUUGUCUUCUCCUCUCAGAGCUUUUAAGGCGUCAGGCGUUGCGGUGCGCACCUGCGGAGGUUUCGCUGCGCAGGUGCGCAGUUCUGUCUUUUAUCACGUCGAACCGCCCUCUUCUCGGUCAAUCCUCGCUUCUGUGCCCAUCUUUCCUCUUCCUCUCAGCUCCUUCCUCAAACUGCCAGGCUGAGUGAAUUGGUACUGCUGAGUGAGCACUCGCCGCGGGUGAUGGCCGCUACCCCACCAGCGCUGCUGCUGGCCGAAGAGCAGCGAAGGUUGCUUGAUCAGUUUGAAUUCCAUGUUAUUCAAGAGAGGGGGGACACGUCGGUGGUCUGGGUCGGCUCUGCCAUGCGGAGCGGACCGACUUCGACCAACAACGGCAGUGUGAGCGGCACCACGCCCAGCUCGAGCGCGUCGAGCGGCACCUCUUCCCCUUUCGCUUGCGCCCCCUCGGUAGCCCCAUCAAAAGCGGUGCCUCCUGACAGCGAGCAAGUCGCGAGAGUCACUCGCUUCGACUUGACCGCGCCCCAUGGCGGAGGUCGUGUCCCGCCUCUCACAGGGGCGAAGUGCGAUCCGUUGCAACGCAUGGAACCAGCGCAAAGCGGAGUUGCCAUGAAUAGUCGAGCGCAGGAGCUGGAAGCGCCGACACCGCCGAGCUUGCAUGUGAUCGCUGCCGCCCCGCUGCUGCAUGACAAUCUCUCUAUUCGAAAAGGUGACUUGGCGUCUCCAGUGACCGGUGUGUCUGUCUCCUCCUCUCAUCAACCCAGCAGGGGCUGGCGCACGCAUGUUGGAGGUGACUCUGCUGUGCCUCUUGGAGAACUCCUGCGCCACGUCGACGCCGACGCCCUCACCGGAGCGACACAGACGUCCGUCGACGAAAAAUGCAAAGAGUUGGCGGAGCGUCUUCUGCGGAUGUCGGCAGAGGCGGAUGCGGUGGCGUUGGCCAUGAACCACGACGUGGUAUCACCGCUUGAGUUCUUCUGAGAAAACCCCGAAACGCAUGAGAGACCGAAGCGACAAAGAAAGAGGAAGCAGGCAAGGAACGCGCCCGCAACGGCGGUGCACUUUCCUCCCCAUUCGCCCUCUGCCGCCGCCUGUUUCUUCGCCCGGCCGCUCUUUUCCCCCUUUUUAUUUUGGCUGACCUGCGCACACCGCUCUACCACAUGCGACAGGGAGGCGAGAAGGGCUGACUGUGGGCCCCGAUAUUGCCUUUGGGUGGUUCUCCAGCACAGUUUCUGUGCGUCUUGUUGUGCUGCUGCAUUGCUAGCAUCGUAUGUCCUGCUGGUUGUCUCUCUUCUCCUUUAUUCCAUUCUGGAAAAAAAAACACACCGGGCACGCCGACCCUACCCCUCCCGUCCCGUAG